This 233-nucleotide ribosomal RNA is filed under the name uncultured bacterium. RNAcentral's name for it is "partial 16S ribosomal RNA". It matches the Rfam family "Bacterial small subunit ribosomal RNA", at positions 794 to 1025 of the family's 1533-position model. The record is from RNAcentral.
UCCACGCCCUAAACGAUGGCUACUAGUGGUUGGGGGGAUAGUCCUUCAGUCACGCAGCUAACGCGAUAAGUAGCCCGCCUGGGGAGUACGGCCGCAAGGCUAAAACUCAAAGGAAUAGACGGGGACCCGAACAAGCGGUGGAGCAUGUGGUUUAAUUCGAAGAUACGCGAAGAACCUUACCUGGGCUUGACAUCCCGCGAACCUCCCAGAGAUGGGAGGGUGCCUCUUAUGAG